UUGGAGGGCAAGUCUGGUGCCAGCAGCCGCGGUAAUUCCAGCUCCAAUAGCGUAUAUUAAAGUUGUUGCAGUUAAAAAGCUCGUAGUUGAAUUUCGGGAUCAAUUUGCCGGUCGAGACCUCUGGUACGUACUUGUAUUAUUGAUUUCUUUCAUUCUGAUAAAUCAUUGAUGUCAUUAAUUUGAUGACUUUGAGGAAUCGGAACUUUUACUUUGAAAAAAUUAGAGUGUUUAAAGCAGGCUUAUUAGGCUUGAAUACAUUAGCAUGGAAUAAUGAAAUAGGACGAUUGAUCCUAUUUUUGUUGGUUUCUAGGAUUGACGUAAUGAUUAAUAGGGAUAGUUGGGGGCAUUAGUAUUCAAUUGUCAGAGGUGAAAUUCUUGGAUUUAUUGAAGACUAACUACUGCGAAAGCAUUUGCCAAGGAUGUUUUCAUUAAUCAAGAACGAAAGUUAGGGGAUCGAAGACGAUCAGAUACCGUCGUAGUCUUAACCAUAAACUAUGCCGACUAGGGAUCGGAUGAUGUUAAUUUUUUAAUGACUCAUUCGGCGCCUUACGGGAAAC
RNAcentral lists this ribosomal RNA (557 nucleotides) under uncultured Glomus. Its description in RNAcentral is "bacterial SSU rRNA". It matches the Rfam family "Eukaryotic small subunit ribosomal RNA", at positions 548 to 1098 of the family's 1831-position model. Lineage: Eukaryota; Fungi; Glomeromycota; Glomeromycetes; Glomerales; Glomeraceae. The record is from RNAcentral.